RNAcentral lists this ribosomal RNA (370 nucleotides) under uncultured eukaryote. RNAcentral describes it as "partial 18S ribosomal RNA". It matches the Rfam family "Eukaryotic small subunit ribosomal RNA", at positions 592 to 976 of the family's 1831-position model. The record is from RNAcentral.
CAAUAGCGUAUAUUAAAGUUGUUGCAGUCAAAAAGCUCGUAGUUGGACCUUGGACCUGGACAGGCGGUCCGCCUCACGGCGUGUACUGUCUUGCUGGGUCUUUCCUCUUGGUGAUCUGUUGUUUCGGCAGCAGGGAACCAGGACUUUUACUUUGAAAAAAUUAGAGUGUUCAAAGCAGGCUCGACGCCGGAAUAUAUUAGCAUGGAAUAAUAAAAUAGGACGUGCGGUUCUAUUUUGUUGGUUUUUGGAAUCGCCGUAAUGAUUAAUAGGGACAGUCGGGGGCAUUAGUACUCACAUGCUAGAGGUGAAAUUCUUGGAUUUUGUGAAGACUAACUUCUGCGAAAGCAUUUGCCAAGGAUGUUUUCAUUAA